This 253-nucleotide ribosomal RNA is filed under the name uncultured bacterium. RNAcentral describes it as "partial 16S ribosomal RNA". It matches the Rfam family "Bacterial small subunit ribosomal RNA", at positions 524 to 776 of the family's 1533-position model. The record is from RNAcentral.
UACAGAGGCCUCGAGCGUUAGGCGGAAUCACUGGGCUUAAAGCGUGUGUAGGCGGACGCCUAAGUGUCUUGUGAAAUCCCACGGCUCACCCGUGGAACUGCUGGGCAUACUGGGCGUCUUGGGCCAACUAGGGGCAGCCGGAACAAGCGGUGGAGCGGUGAAAUGCGUAGAUAUCGCUUGGAACGCCGAAGGUGAAAACAGGCUGCUGGGGUUGUGCCGACGCUGAGACACGAAAGCCAGGGGAGCAAACGGG